RNAcentral lists this ribosomal RNA (466 nucleotides) under uncultured bacterium. Its description in RNAcentral is "partial 16S ribosomal RNA". It matches the Rfam family "Bacterial small subunit ribosomal RNA", at positions 28 to 507 of the family's 1533-position model. The record is from RNAcentral.
GAUGAACGCUGGCGGCGUGCUUAACACAUGCAAGUCGAACGAUGAAGCCCAGCUUGCUGGGUGGAUUAGUGGCGAACGGGUGAGUAACACGUGAGUAACCUGCCCUUAACUCUGGGAUAAGCCUGGGAAACUGGGUCUAAUACCGGAUAGGAGCGUCCACCGCAUGGUGGGUGUUGGAAAGAUUUAUCGGUUUUGGAUGGACUCGCGGCCUAUCAGCUUGUUGGUGAGGUAAUGGCUCACCAAGGCGACGACGGGUAGCCGGCCUGAGAGGGUGACCGGCCACACUGGGACUGGGACACGGCCCAGACUCCUACGGGAGGCAGCAGUGGAGAAUAUUGCACAAUGGGCGCAAGCCUGAUGCAGCGACGCCGCGUGAGGGAUGACGGCCUUCGGGUUGUAAACCUCUUUCAGUAGGGAAGAAGCGAAAGUGACGGUACCUGCAGAAGAAGCACCGGCUAACUACGUG